AACGGCUACCACAUCUAAGGAAGGCAGCAGGCGCGCAAAUUACCCAAUCCAGACUUUGGGAGGUAGUGACGAGAAAUACCGGAGUGGACCGUAAAAUGGUUCACUAUCGGAAUGAACGUAAUUUAAUACCUUCGAUGAGUAGCUACUGGAGGGCAAGUCUGGUGCCAGCAGCCGCGGUAAUUCCAGCUCCAGUAGUGUAUAUCAAAAUUGUUGCGGUUAAAACGCUCGUAGUUGAAUUACAAAAGCUCUUUGGCGGCCAAAUCUAGGUUUGGUCGUUGUGGGGUUUUUUUAUCGCGAGAGCCAUACGUGGGAUUAAAUUCUUGUGUGUGGUCACUUGCGAGGUGUGCCUUGAAUAAAGCACAGUGCUCAAAGCAGGCGAACGCUUGAAUGUUAUAGCAUGGAACGAUUAUGUUGAUCUUGUCGACUGUUGGUUGUUGACAGUGGUCUCGAUUAAAAGGGACAUUUGAGGGCGUUAGUACUUGGUGGCGAGGGGUGAAAUCCUUUGACCCAUCAAAGACUAACUAAUGCGAAAGCAUUCGCCAAGAGUGUUUUCAUUAAUCAAGAACGAAAGUUGGAGGUUCGAAGACGAUCAGAUACCGUCCUAGUUCCAUACAGUAAACUAUGCCAACAUGGGAUUAGCCCGGUUUAAUCCAGGUUGGGCCCUCAGUGAAAACGUAGUGUUUCGGCUUUGGGGAGAGUGCUCACGCAAGUGACAAAUUUAAAGAAAUUGACGGAAUGGCACCACCAGGAGUGGAGCCUGCGGCUUAAUUUGAUUCAACACGGGGAAACUCACCAGGUCCAGACAUUGGUAGGAUUGACAGACUGAGAGAUCUUUCAUGAUUUGAUGAUUGGUGGUGCAUGGCCGUUCUUAGUUGGUGGAGUGAUCUGUCAGGUUUAUUCCGGUAACGAGCGAGACCACGAUCUUUAAUUGAUUACGGUUAAAAUGUCUUGACCGAUCUUAAAGAGACCACCGGAUUGAAGCCGGGGGAAGCGUGGCAAUAACAGGUCUGUGAUGCCCUUCGAUGUUCUGGGCUGCACGUGUGCUACAAUGAUAGUGACAACGAGUACCUG
This 1071-nucleotide ribosomal RNA is filed under the name Kudoa septempunctata. Its description in RNAcentral is "SSU rRNA". It matches the Rfam family "Eukaryotic small subunit ribosomal RNA", at positions 402 to 1525 of the family's 1831-position model. The record is from RNAcentral. Lineage: Eukaryota; Metazoa; Cnidaria; Myxozoa; Multivalvulida; Kudoidae.